GUCUUUUUGAGUAUAAUUUAAAGUCUGACCUGCCCAUUGAUUUUUAAAAGGCCGCAGUAUUUUGACUGUGCAAAGGUAGCAUAAUCAUUAGUUUUUUAAUUAAAAGCUUGUAUGAAUGGUUGGACGAAAUAAAUUCUGUCUCUUAUUAAUAAUUAUGAAUUUAAUUUUUAAGUUAAAAAGCUUAAAUAAUUUUAAAAGACGAGAAGACCCUAUAGAUUUUUAUAAUAAAUUUAUUUAUUUAAAUUAAGAAUAUUUAGUUAAUAAUUAAUUUUAUUAUUUUAUUGGGGUAAUAGAGAGAUUUAAUUAAUUCUUUUUUAUUUUUAACAUGAAUUAGUGGUUAUAAGAUCCAUUAUUAAUGAUAAAAGAUUAAGUUACCUUAGGGAUAACAGCGUAAUUCUUUUAAAGAGUUCAUAUCGAUAAAAGAGUUUGCGACCUCGAUGUUGGAUUAAAAGUAAUCUUAGGUGAAGAAGUUUAAGAUUUUGGUCUGUUCGACCAUUGAAUUUUUACA
This 508-nucleotide ribosomal RNA is filed under the name Neptosternus sp. UNM KBMNrsp379. Its description in RNAcentral is "partial 16S ribosomal RNA". The stretch from base 382 to 508 matches the Rfam family "Bacterial large subunit ribosomal RNA", at positions 2473 to 2600 of the family's 2925-position model. Lineage: Eukaryota; Metazoa; Arthropoda; Insecta; Coleoptera; Dytiscidae. The record is from RNAcentral.